Molecule: unclassified non-coding RNA, 825 nt
Filed under: Salmo trutta (river trout)
Lineage: Eukaryota; Metazoa; Chordata; Actinopteri; Salmoniformes; Salmonidae
Description: 5' external transcribed spacer
Source: RNAcentral
UUCAUCCCGCAACGCACCGGCGCCAGAGACACAAUUUCUCAAACCCUGUCUUCACAAAUAUCUUCCCAUAUACUGGCCCUGAGUGGUCUGGUUAUGGUUGUGGUUACCCCGCGGUUCAGUUGAUGGCCUCCCGAAUAAGCCAUCAGGCUAGAUUCGCGACCUUAUAGGCGGUGCUGUGGCAUUGGACCUUAAGAGCGGUGCCCUGGGCCCUGUGGCACCUCCGGCCAUGGGUAGUUCAGGGCGUCCCGCUGGCCGCACGGUGGAUUACAGUACAGGGCUCCCUCUCGCUCGCUGAGGAUCGGCAUUCUGGACAACAAUACGCUUGGCGCUCAGGUCCAACAUCUAAGUUGAUGGCAUUCCGAAUAAGCCCUCCGGCCAGACGAGCGGCGACCUCCGCGGAUGCGUGCAUUUUCCAGAACCUAAACCCAUUCGACCGUCAGGCCGUCUAGGGGGACCAGCUCUAGAUUAGCCCCGAAUUGGAUGCACCUGGGAGGGCACCUGGCGGCCGGCAUACGUCCUGGUGUUCAGCCGGAAUGUUCCUCCCGCCCCGUGGCACUGACAACUAUCGGGAGAGCCCCCAUGGUUCAGUUGAUGGCCUUCCGAAUAAGCCCUCCGGCUAGACGAGCGGCAUAGCCCUCCGGCUAGACAAGCGACCUCUCGAGCGGUGCCCCGGCACCUGUGGCACAUCCGGCCAUGGGCAGUUCAGGGCGUCCCGCUGGGCGCACGGUGGAUUGCACCAGGUCCUCCUCCCUGACGGGAUAGGACUGGUUCCUGGUCGUUCUUUGCUUAGUGUGCCCAGGUACAACAUAUACGUUGUGAGUGGCU